This 51-nucleotide ribosomal RNA is filed under the name Candidatus Tremblayella princeps. Its description in RNAcentral is "Candidatus Tremblaya princeps partial 16S ribosomal RNA". The record is from RNAcentral. Lineage: Bacteria; Pseudomonadati; Pseudomonadota; Betaproteobacteria.
ACUGUAUAGAGUUUGAUCCUGGCUCAGAUUGAACGCUUGCGGUAUGCAUAA